AGUCCCAAAAGGCACCGUAUUGAGGAGAGCUGGGAUCCGACACAGCCUGCACCAGCUCCGAGAGUCUUUCCACAUUCUGCUGUCUCAGGGCAAAGCCCUCUCAAUUUCUCACCAGGCUUGGAGUCCCAUUCUGCCCUUCCGCGGAUCUGCUGUCAUGUGACGGAUCACAUGAGCUCUAUAUUCCACCACCACUACCCCUCUGCCUAGUAACUAGUGACGGUACUGGCUCCUCCCUUGCAUGGGUGGUCCCAAAUGCUAGGCAAGGGUGGGGCCGCCACCCGGAUUCUCCCCUCUGGCCAGUCAAGCACUGAGUAAGCCCAGGGCUCCCCACCUGCGUCCUGAGCCUGGUCCCCUGGGAAUCACCACAAGUGAGUGGGCUGUAGAGACCCACAGACUGGGGUUCUUCCUAGCUGUAUGACAUCAGCAAAAUAACCUCUCAGAGCCUAGGUUUCUGCAUUUACAAUAUGGAGACUUAUAUAAAAGUGAUCUGCCU
RNAcentral lists this long non-coding RNA (493 nucleotides) under Homo sapiens (human). Its description in RNAcentral is "HSALNT0361177". The record is from RNAcentral. Lineage: Eukaryota; Metazoa; Chordata; Mammalia; Primates; Hominidae.